GAAGAUUUAGUUAAUUAAUAACAUUAGUUUGUCAGUCUAAAAUUAUCCUCUCGAUAUUCUUCU
RNAcentral lists this transfer RNA (63 nucleotides) under Gyna capucina. RNAcentral describes it as "tRNA-Asp". Lineage: Eukaryota; Metazoa; Arthropoda; Insecta; Blattodea; Blaberidae. The record is from RNAcentral.